GAACGAACGCUGGCGGCGUGCCUAACACAUGCAAGUCGAGCGAGAAAGUCCCUUCGGGGGCGAGUAAAGCGGCGGACGGGUGAGUAAUACAUGGAUAAUCUUCCCUCGAGCCUGGGAUAACCCUGCGAAAGUGGGGCUAAUACCGGAUAAGACCACAUGACACAUGCCACGGGGUAGAAGGUGGCUUGUAUUUAUAUGAGCUAUCACUUGAGGAUGAGUCCAUGGCCUAUCAGCUAGUUGGUGAGGUAAGAGCUUACCAAGGCUAUGACGGGUAGCUGGUCUGAGAGGACGACUAGCCACACUGGGACUGAGACACGGCCCAGACUCCUACGGGAGGCAGCAGUGGGGAAUAUUGGGCAAUGGGCGAAAGCCUGACCCAGCGACGCCGCGUGGGUGAUGAAGGCCUUCGGGUUGUAAAACCCUUUCGUGCGGAAAGAAUAGUCCUGUAGCGAAUAACUACGGGAUUUGACGGUACCGCAGGAAGAAGCACCGGCUAACUCCGUGCCAGCAGCCGCGGUAAUACGUAUGGGGCAAGCGUUAUCCGGAAUUAUUGGGCGUAAAGAGUGCGUAGGUGGUUACCUAAGCGCAAGGUUUAAUCUUGAGGCUCAACCUCAUUCUGCCUUGCGAACUGGGCUACUUGAGUGNNNNNGGGGAAAGCGGAAUUCCCAGUGUAGCGGUGAAAUGCGUAGAUAUUGGGAAGAACACCGGUGGNNNNNNNNNCUUUCUGGACUGUAACUGACACUGAGGCACGAAAGCGUGGGGAGCAAACAGGAUUAGAUACCCUGGUAGUCCACGCCGUAAACGAUGAGCACUAGUUGUUGGGUACGAAUGUAUUCAGUGACGCAGUUAACGCAAUAAGUGCUCCGCCUGGGGAGUACGGUGGCAACACUAAAACUCAAAGGAAUUGACGGGGACCCGCACAAGCAGCGGAGCAUGUGGUUUAAUUCGAAGCAACGCGAAAAACCUUACCAGGGCUUGACAUCCCUCUGACCGGAUCUUAACCGAUCCUUUCUUCGGACAGAGGUGACAGGUGGUGCAUGGUUGUCGUCAGCUCGUGUCGUGAGAUGUUGGGUUAAGUCCCGCAACGAGCGCAACCCUUGUCGUCAGUUACUAACAUUCAGUUGAGGACUCUGACGAGACUGCCGAGGUCAACUCGGAGGAAGGUGGGGAUGACGUCAAAUCAUCAUGCCCCUUAUGUUCUGGGCUACACACGUGCUACAAUGGUCGGUACAAUGAGACGCAAUACAGUGAUGUGGAGCAAAUCACCAAAACCGAUCCCAGUUCGGAUUGCAGGCUGCAACUCGCCUGCAUGAAGUCGGAGUUGCUAGUAAUCGCGAAUCAGCAUGUCGCGGUGAAUGCGUUCCCGGGUCU
Molecule: ribosomal RNA, 1371 nt
Filed under: uncultured bacterium
Lineage: Bacteria
Description: bacterial SSU rRNA
Rfam family: Bacterial small subunit ribosomal RNA
Source: RNAcentral